This 72-nucleotide transfer RNA is filed under the name Candidatus Omnitrophota bacterium. RNAcentral's name for it is "Candidatus Omnitrophica bacterium tRNA-Met". It matches the Rfam family "tRNA". From Rfam's summary of the family: Transfer RNA (tRNA) molecules are approximately 80 nucleotides in length. Their secondary structure includes four short double-helical elements and three loops (D, anti-codon, and T loops). Lineage: Bacteria; Pseudomonadati; Candidatus Omnitrophota. The record is from RNAcentral.
CGCGGGGUGGAGCAGUGGUAGCUCGUCGGGCUCAUAACCCGGAGGUCGUGGGUUCAAAUCCCAUCCCCGCAA